UGGGGAAUAUUGGACAAUGGACCGAGAGUCUGAUCCAGCAAUUCUGUGUGCACGAUGAAGUUUUUCGGCAUGUAAAGUGCUUUCAGUUGGGAAGAAAGAAAUGACGGUACCAACAGAAGAAGUGACGGCUAAAUACGUGCCAGCAGCCGCGGUAAUACGUAUGUCACGAGCGUUAUCCGGAUUUAUUGGGCGUAAAGCGCGUCUAGGUGGUUAUGUAAGUCUGAUGUGAAAAUGCAGGGCUCAACUCUGUAUUGCGUUGGAAACUGUAUAACUAGAGUACUGGAGAGGUAAGCGGAACUACAAGUGUAGAGGUGAAAUUCGUAGAUAUUUGUAGGAAUUCCGGUGGGGAAGCAAGCUUACUGGACAGAUACUGACGCUAAAGCGCGAAAGCGUGGGUAGCAAACAGG
Molecule: ribosomal RNA, 407 nt
Filed under: bacterium
Lineage: Bacteria
Description: partial 16S ribosomal RNA
Rfam family: Bacterial small subunit ribosomal RNA
Source: RNAcentral